GGGGGGGGGGGGGGGGGGGGGGGGGGCGUGCAGGGCGAGCGGGGAGGCCCGGCGGGGGGGGGGUGCUCGAGUGGCGAACGGGUGAGGAACACGUGAGUAACCUGCCCUUGACUUUGGGAUAACUUCAGGAAACUGGGGCUAAUACCGGAUAGGAGCUCCUGCUGCAUGGUGGGGGUUGGAAAGUUUCGGCGGUUGGGGAUGGACUCGCGGCUUAUCAGCUUGUUGGUGGGGUAGUGGCUUACCAAGGCUUUGACGGGUAGCCGGCCUGAGAGGGUGACCGGCCACAUUGGGACUGAGAUACGGCCCAGACUCCUACGGGAGGCAGCAGUGGGGAAUAUUGCACAAUGGGCGGAAGCCUGAUGCAGCAACGCCGCGUGCGGGAUGACGGCCUUCGGGUUGUAAACCGCUUUCGCCUGUGACGAAGCGUGAGUGACGGUAAUGGGUAAAGAAGCACCGGCUAACUACGUG
This 468-nucleotide ribosomal RNA is filed under the name uncultured bacterium. RNAcentral's name for it is "partial 16S ribosomal RNA". It matches the Rfam family "Bacterial small subunit ribosomal RNA", at positions 39 to 507 of the family's 1533-position model. The record is from RNAcentral.